UACGAAGGGUGCAAGCGUUACUCGGAAUUAUUGGGUGUAAAGGGCGUGUAGGCGGCAUUAUAAGUCUAUUGUUUAAAUUUCUGGCCUAACUGGAAAACUGCGAUAGAUACUGUAUUGCUAGAGUAUGGAAGAGAGAAGCGGAAUUCUCGGAGUAGCGGUUAAAUGCGUAGAUCUCGAGAGGAACACCAAUGGCGAAGGCAGCUUCUUAGUACAUUACUGACGCUAAAGCGCGAAAGCGUGGGGAGCAAACAGG
Molecule: ribosomal RNA, 253 nt
Filed under: uncultured bacterium
Lineage: Bacteria
Description: partial 16S ribosomal RNA
Rfam family: Bacterial small subunit ribosomal RNA
Source: RNAcentral